CCUACGGGAGGCUGCAGUGAGGAAUAUUGGGCAAUGGACGAGAGUCUGAACCAGCCAAGUAGCGUGAAGGAUGACUGCCCUAUGGGUUGUAAACUUCUUUUAUAUGGGAAUAAAACGUUCCACGUGUGGGAUUUUGUAUGUACCAUAUGAAUAAGGAUCGGCUAACUCCGUGCCAGCAGCCGCGGUAAUACGGAGGAUCCGAGCGUUAUCCGGAUUUAUUGGGUUUAAAGGGAGCGUAGGUGGAUUGUUAAGUCAGUUGUGAAAGUUUGCGGCUCAACCGUAAAAUUGCAGUUGAAACUGGCAGUCUUGAGUACAGUAGAGGUGGGCGGAAUUCGUGGUGUAGCGGUGAAAUGCUUAGAUAUCACGAAGAACUCCGAUUGCGAAGGCAGUUCACUGGACUGCAACUGACACUGAGGCUCGAAAGUGUGGGUAUCAAACAGGAUUAGAUACCCCUGUAGUC
Molecule: ribosomal RNA, 460 nt
Filed under: uncultured bacterium
Lineage: Bacteria
Description: partial 16S ribosomal RNA
Rfam family: Bacterial small subunit ribosomal RNA
Source: RNAcentral